GAGAAGAGAGGGGGCAAGGAGCUGUGGCGACCCCUGUGAGGACCCCAGCAACGCCCCGCCGCCGGCCCGCCCGCCGCAGCCCCGAGACCGGGUUCUCCUGGAAGCUUCUCCCUGGAGGAGCCUUGAGUGACGGCAAAUGAAAAUUUCAAAAAUGUUUCAAAUUCCUGUGGAAAAUCUUGACAACAUCAGAAAGGUGCGAAAAAAGGUGAAAGGUAUUCUUGUGGAUAUUGGGCUUGACAGCUGCAAGGAGUUACUGAAGGUAAGAGGACAUAAGUAGCCAACUGAAAUAUGGAGGUGAGAUUUGAACUGGGGUUUUCGAAAAGUGGGUGAGAUUCCUCAAAAUGGAAAUUGCUAUUAUACUUCAGAUGACUGUGGGAAAGCCUCAUUAGUACUUAUUUAUGUCUUUAUGACAUAAAGUGAGCUAUGUAAGCUGUUCAGGUUUUUAAGCUACUUUAAGGAGGGGAUUUUUCUAGUCAUUAGUUAUUAAAAAAUUGUUUUUGAUGUUUGAGAGAAAUGUGAUUUAUUUUUUAUUUUAGCAAAAGAAAACUAACUUAAUUUCCCAGUAUUGUUAGAG
Molecule: long non-coding RNA, 574 nt
Filed under: Macaca fascicularis (crab-eating macaque)
Lineage: Eukaryota; Metazoa; Chordata; Mammalia; Primates; Cercopithecidae
Description: lncRNA (ENSMFAG00000053607.1)
Source: RNAcentral